AUUGAACGCUGGCGGCAGGCCUAACACAUGCAAGUCGAGCGGAUGCAGGGAGCUUGCUCCUGGAUUCAGCGGCGGACGGGUGCGUAAUGCCUAUGAAUCUGCCUGGUCGUGGGGGAUAACGUCCGGAAACGGGCGCUGAUACCGCAUACGUCCUGCGGGAGAAAGUGGGGGAUCUUCGGACCUCACGCUCUCAGAUGAGCCUAGGUCGGAUUAGCUAGUUGGUGGGGUAAAGGCCUACCUAGGCGACGAUCCGUAACUGGUCUGAGAGGAUGAUCAGUCACACUGGAACUGAGACACGGUCCAGACUCCUACGGGAGGCAGCAGUGGGGAAUAUUGGACAAUGGGCGAAAGCCUGAUCCAGCCAUGCCGCGUGUAUGAAGAAGGUCUUCGGAUUGUAAAGCACUUUAAGUGGGGAGGAAGGGCAGUAAGUUAAUACCUUGCUGUUUUGACGUUACCAACAGAAUAAGCACCGGCUAACUUCGUG
RNAcentral lists this ribosomal RNA (484 nucleotides) under uncultured bacterium. Its description in RNAcentral is "partial 16S ribosomal RNA". It matches the Rfam family "Bacterial small subunit ribosomal RNA", at positions 30 to 507 of the family's 1533-position model. The record is from RNAcentral.